GGGGGUACAGCUCAGCGGUAGAGUGCCUGCUUAGCAUGCAUGCACAAGGUCCUGGGUUCAAUCCCCAGUCCCUCCA
This 76-nucleotide transfer RNA is filed under the name Camelus bactrianus (Bactrian camel). It matches the Rfam family "tRNA". From Rfam's summary of the family: Transfer RNA (tRNA) molecules are approximately 80 nucleotides in length. Lineage: Eukaryota; Metazoa; Chordata; Mammalia; Artiodactyla; Camelidae. RNAcentral also lists the same sequence under 2 other names. The record is from Rfam by way of RNAcentral.